Molecule: transfer RNA, 85 nt
Filed under: Felis catus (domestic cat)
Lineage: Eukaryota; Metazoa; Chordata; Mammalia; Carnivora; Felidae
Rfam family: tRNA
About the family: Transfer RNA (tRNA) molecules are approximately 80 nucleotides in length. Their secondary structure includes four short double-helical elements and three loops (D, anti-codon, and T loops). Further hydrogen bonds mediate the characteristic L-shaped molecular structure. tRNAs have two regions of fundamental functional importance: the anti-codon, which is responsible for specific mRNA codon recognition, and the 3' end, to which the tRNAs corresponding amino acid is attached (by aminoacyl-tRNA synthetases). tRNAs cope with the degeneracy of the genetic code in two manners: having more than one tRNA (with a specific anti-codon) for a particular amino acid; and 'wobble' base-pairing, i.e. permitting non-standard base-pairing at the 3rd anti-codon position.
Source: Rfam by way of RNAcentral
ACCUGGUUGGCUGAGUCAGUUGAGCAUCUGACUUCGGCUCAGGUAAUGAUCUCACGGUUUGUGGGUUCAAGCCCCGCAUCUGGCU